UUGGCGUCCGGGUCGAUCUCGCGGGUGACGAUCAGGUACUCACGCAGGGCGAUGGCGUGCAGGUGCUC
Non-coding RNA from Mycobacterium longobardum, 68 nucleotides. The record is from Rfam. NCBI's taxonomy places the organism in Bacteria, Bacillati, Actinomycetota, Actinomycetes, Mycobacteriales, Mycobacteriaceae.